RNAcentral lists this unclassified non-coding RNA (303 nucleotides) under Hevea brasiliensis (rubber tree). Lineage: Eukaryota; Viridiplantae; Streptophyta; Magnoliopsida; Malpighiales; Euphorbiaceae. The record is from RNAcentral.
GCCGGUGAGAUCAAGCGAGCCGGCACCGGCGACGAGUCACGAGUAACGACAAGUCAGUUCAAUCUCAGUCACCGGCGAUAAUGGAUCCGGUGAACUCAACACUUGCCCGAAUGCUAUUGGAUGAGAUCACUCCUGUGGUUAUGGUUCUCCGAACUCCUUUUGUUGAAGAAUCUUGUCAGAAGAAUCAACUCUCCUUCAUUGAAAUGCUUUCUCCUUUCUGCAAUUUCAACAAUAUCGACGUGCCAGUUCGAACUGCUAGUGAUCAGCCUUACAGACUGAAGAAGUUCAAAUUGCGGUUGUUUU